RNAcentral lists this small RNA (28 nucleotides) under Bombyx mori (domestic silkworm). RNAcentral describes it as "ovarian small RNA-22627". Lineage: Eukaryota; Metazoa; Arthropoda; Insecta; Lepidoptera; Bombycidae. The record is from RNAcentral.
UAGGAACUCAUAGUGGCCUCUUUCAGUA